CAGGAAUUCAUACAGAAGAAUGACAGAAGUUGAACUGGAGAGGUGUGACCAAUGUUACCAUGGCAACACUGAGUGCUGGGAUGUGAGGAGGCAGGUCGACACCAUGAAGUGUGAGACAGGGAGCUGGCAGAAGCUAGAAGGAAUUUGGUAACAGCAAGGCCUUUUAAAAGCAAAUAUUUCUCCUUGGAAGAAAUGUUUUCCUGACGGGGCAUUUUUUCUCCAAAAAUGGAAGUUCCACUCUACUGAGUAUGGAUGCUGCCAUUUGUGUAGUGAAGUCCAGGACCCAUUUCCUCUGAAGGAAGAUACAAAGAAAUUGUUUCAAGUCAAAAUAGGAGAUCAGAAAGAAUCUCACCUAAUAGAGUUCCAUCAA
Molecule: long non-coding RNA, 370 nt
Organism: Motacilla alba alba
Lineage: Eukaryota; Metazoa; Chordata; Aves; Passeriformes; Motacillidae
Exons: 4
Source: RefSeq, a predicted model, not a curated record